Molecule: ribosomal RNA, 492 nt
Filed under: uncultured bacterium
Lineage: Bacteria
Description: partial 16S ribosomal RNA
Rfam family: Bacterial small subunit ribosomal RNA
Source: RNAcentral
AGUGAACGCUGGCGGUAGGCCUAACACAUGCAAGUCGAACGGCAGCACAGUAAGAGCUUGCUCUUACGGGUGGCGAGUGGCGGACGGGUGAGGAAUACAUCGGAAUCUACUUUUUCGUGGGGGAUAACGUAGGGAAACUUACGCUAAUACCGCAUACGACCUGCGGGUGAAAGCAGGGGAUCUUCGGACCUUGCGCGAUUGAAUGAGCCGAUGUCGGAUUAGCUAGUUGGCGGGGUAAAGGCCCACCAAGGCGACGAUCCGUAGCUGGUCUGAGAGGAUGAUCAGCCACACUGGAACUGAGACACGGUCCAGACUCCUACGGGAGGCAGCAGUGGGGAAUAUUGGACAAUGGGCGCAAGCCUGAUCCAGCCAUACCGCGUGAGUGAAGAAGGCCUUCGGGUUGUAAAGCCCUUUUGUUGGGAAAGAAAAGCAGCAGGUUAAUACCCCGCUGUUCUGACGGUACCCAAAGAAUAAGCACCGGCUAACUUCGUG